RNAcentral lists this long non-coding RNA (3293 nucleotides) under Canis lupus familiaris (dog). Its description in RNAcentral is "lncRNA (ENSCAFG00000055383.1, ENSCAFG00845020145.1)". Lineage: Eukaryota; Metazoa; Chordata; Mammalia; Carnivora; Canidae. The record is from RNAcentral.
GGGCGCGAUCCUGGAGACCCGGGAUCGAAUCCCACAUCGGGCUCCCGGUGCAUGGAGCCUGCUUCUCCCUCUGCCUGUGUCUCUGCCUCUCUCUCUCUCUGACUAUCAUAAAUAAAAAUAAAUAAACAAAAUAAAUAAAUUCAUUUAAACUAUAACAAAUCAGUUGAAAACUAUGAGUAUUCUGAGUACUUGCUCAUUUUCCUUGAUUUUUUUUUAAAGCUUCUCUUAGCUUCCCCAUCGGACCUGCAAAGAGAAUAAGACAUAUUAAAGCAUCAUUCUCUCUUGAGCUGCCAUCCACUGCUGGACUCCCUUUAUUUUGAGACUUAAAAAAACAGUGAUUACAAAGAAAAGAAUCAAGAAACUACAUUUCUCUUCCUUACUAGAGAUAUUAUCUCCUAUUAAGACAAGAAAUCUAGAUAUGGCAGGGGAAAAAAAAAGAGCCAUCCUUCAUCUGAACAGAGGACAAAGUGAAGUGAAGAUUCAAAGCUACCAAGAAGAUUAAACAAAAAUGGAGUGCAAUACCUGCACCAUAUAGAUUCUCAUUAAAUGUGAAAAAUUGUCAGUGCUUUCCCAGCUCCUGAUAUCAUUUGCCAAUCUCUUCUGAAAGUGUCUCAAAUUAAGUGAGUAUUUUUCAUAAUUGCCAAAGCUGUAGUUGUUUAAAAUAUAUUACUAUGUAAAACUUACUAUUUCUCUCAUGAUUAUUUAAGGAAUAUAUAUUUAUUGAAGCAAAUCACCUAUAAUCUCACCCCUGAAAUAACCACCAUUUAUGUUUUCAUGUACUUCCUUUCAUCUUUAUACAUUUUGUAUUGUUUUAUAAAAUAGAUUAUAUAUACAUUUUGUUUUUAAUGCUUUGUUUCUAAUGUUAUGGUCUGAGCAAUUUCCUAUUUCCUUUACACUCUUUGAGAAGAUGUCUGUAGCAAUUCAUCCUAAAUCCAGUAUUCUAAAUUAUAUCCUGAUAAUAUCUUCUUUUUUGACCCUUUCACCCUAAGUAUCUUCAGAAAUUCUUUUUUGAAGCACUUAAUCAACAUCAGAACUAUGGGUUUAAAGACGUUGUACUUGCUAGGUAAUCAUUGAUAACAAAGCACUUCAGGUACAAUAGAAAGCCAAUGUUUUUUAUUUUGAGAGUUGGUUUAAACUGAGAACACUUCUUUCUUUGUUGACCAAGUCUUCCUUUUUGAAAAGACGCUUCUGAAGCAGAUUAAAAAAAAAUUGCGCUCUCCAUUCAGAAGGUAUUUAAUCUUUGUAUUCUCAUGGUGACAAACUGAGUGCCAUUAGCCAAGGAGACUCUCCCCUGAUGACAGAGGUGGAUCCCCAGUGAAAGGAAUCAAGUAAAGGUGAGGCAGCACAAGGCUUUGUAACCAUAGUUACUUUAAGUCUAAGAUUAUAAACAUAUUGCUUCCAUUAUGAAAGAUGCAUUAACAUUCCUUUAUGUCCAGUCUUAGAAACCUUGUUAUCAAGGCUAGCCUGUUUACUUAGUUAUCUCUUAAGAGAUGGCUAGGCUUAAUUAACACUUAAACAUUAACCUUGAAGAUAGUCCUAGAAAGUGGCCAGGGAGUGGGGAUAGAACUCUUUGAAAGUGGGAUGGAGUGAUCUCAAAGAAAUACUCAAAUUCUGAGAGAAGCAAAAGCUUUAUCUUAUGAGCCUCUUCAAGAAUUUGCUUCUACUGACCCAGAAAAUUCUGGAAAUGACCUCCUAUAUCUUUAUACAUGCACCUGAAUGAAGUGAACGGUGAAAUGGGAGUACUUUAGAAAGCAAUCCUUAAAAAUAAAAUUGCUAUAUACUUUGCAGCUAAUCAUUCAUCUAGUUCUAACAGAUGUUUUCUUGUAAACGGUAAAAAAUAUUCACAGUAAACCACUGGAAUGAUUAAUAUAUUCAUAACAAUAAGGUAGUAUAUUCUUUUAUGACUAGGCUGUCACCACAUUUGGGGAAACUGCUGCCUCAGAUUUUUUUCUGCCUUUGUAGCAAACUUCCUGACAACCGCACAAUUUUACCAUUUGCAUGAGAAGAGCCUGGCUAUUGUAAAUCAUUAUUAUGGAUGUAUUAUUGUACUGUUGCUAUUUCCAUGGAGUUUUUUGGAGAGAAGACACACCAGGAUGAGUUGUUCCUAACUAUUUAUAAUAAAUGUCCAGGGUAAGGAGUUUUCAACUGGCUUUCCAAAAAUAUUCUAAACUCUAGGGUGAGCCUUUUUCGAGAUCUUUUCUAAAGUUUCUUUGUCCCUGGUAAAGCAUUAGGAGAAACCUAACGCUCUCACAAAGUAGGACUAUCUCACUUAAUGUGAUAAUCAUCCCCAACUUGACUCCCAAUGCUUACUUGACUCCUAUGCAUGCUGCCGAAAUGAGCUCAAAUAUAAUUUUCUCAAAGAAACCUUCUGUUUUUCUGCAAUAAAUUAACUAGUCCAUCACCCAUUAACUGAUCAUGCUUUAUACCCUCACAGUAUCCUGAAUUUCUUCAUGUGACCUAGCAAACUUUUAAUUCUUACUCAAUGCUGGUCUUCUCCCUCACGUUUAAAACUACAUCAAAACAGAGACCUAACUAUAUGUUCUCAUUGCUCUCUCCUCACAACCAAAGAUAGUGCCUUGCUUAAGGCCAGCCUUCCAUAAAUAUUUGCUGAAUUAAUAACAUUAAUGCGUUAGGCAUACUGUACUGGGGUCCUUGAAGCAUGAGUUUUUCCAUAACAUCACUUUACUAGUUUUAUCUGAAAAAGGAGAUGAAGAGUGGAUCUCCAUAUUUUGAAAUGCAAAAUCUGGAAUGUCUGGAUUUAGGUACACUCUAUGGUUAGUGAAAAAGUCUGCUGUUUGGGGGAAACUCAAGGCUUUCUCCUUUUCUAUCCUGUAUUCCACCUCAGGAGGAAGAUAAACGUGAAGAAAGGGCAGUAUUGGGUCAGUAUCAUAAACAACGGCAUAAAUUCCUCCAUGUGACAAUGGAAGAAGUUAAAACAUCUUGUGAUCCAAUAAUAAAUUUUCUCUGUAAUUGGGAAGAAAUUUUCAUGCUCUUGGUAAUUGAGAAUACAUACUUUAAUGGAGAAAAAUUAAGACCAUAUGAUUAGAGGAAACCUUUACAAAGUAUAUAUUAUUAUUUCUAUUUAUCUGAACCAGGAUCCUUGCUUUGUUAUAGAUAAUGUGCUAAUACUGUUUUGCUUUGUUUUUAAGAGAAAUUAUAUAGUAAAAAUUUUAAGUUACCUUCUAUGUGCAGGGUAUUGAAUUACCUGUCCCAGAUAAUUACAACACAGACUGGAGAGAAGAGACAACACUCCUUUGUAAAAAUAAAACAAUAAAAAUAAAAAAAUAAAAAAA